CAGCAGUAACUUGCGUACUAGGACCUGGUAAUGCUUGCACCAAAGUAGGACAUCCCCUGGAAUUAACAUCACCAUGUCCAAGUUGCCCAUGCUGUCCAUAUCCAAAUGUGUAAACAUCACCAUUCUCCAUCAAAAUCACUGAAUGGUGAAAUCCACAACUGACUUGUACAGCCCGCAGCUCACAGUCAAAGCGAACGGCCCCUGGUGGAUAGGUUGUAAUUUUGCUUGCAUCCUUCUCACCUCUUUCUCCACUUCCGUCUUUGUGCUUGUCCCGCUUAUGCUUUAGCUGUGCU
This 293-nucleotide long non-coding RNA is filed under the name Gallus gallus (chicken). Lineage: Eukaryota; Metazoa; Chordata; Aves; Galliformes; Phasianidae. The record is from RNAcentral.